RNAcentral lists this ribosomal RNA (495 nucleotides) under uncultured bacterium. RNAcentral describes it as "partial 16S ribosomal RNA". It matches the Rfam family "Bacterial small subunit ribosomal RNA", at positions 28 to 507 of the family's 1533-position model. The record is from RNAcentral.
GAUGAACGCUGGCGGCGUGCCUAAUACAUGCAAGUAGAACGCUGAAGGAGGAGCUUGCUCUUCUGGAUGAGUUGCGAACGGGUGAGUAACGCGUAGGUAACCUGCCUGGUAGCGGGGGAUAACUAUUGGAAACGAUAGCUAAUACCGCAUGACAACAGUUAUUGCAUGAUAACUGUUUAAAAGUGGCAACUGCUCCACUACCAGAUGGACCUGCGUUGUAUUAGCUAGUUGGUGAGGUAACGGCUCACCAAGGCGACGAUACAUAGCCGACCUGAGAGGGUGAUCGGCCACACUGGGACUGAGACACGGCCCAGACUCCUACGGGAGGCAGCAGUAGGGAAUCUUCGGCAAUGGACGGAAGUCUGACCGAGCAACGCCGCGUGAGUGAAGAAGGUUUUCGGAUCGUAAAGCUCUGUUGUAAGAGAAGAACGAGUGUGAGAGUGGAAAGUUCACACUGUGACGGUAUCUUACCAGAAAGGGACGGCUAACUACGUG